RNAcentral lists this ribosomal RNA (407 nucleotides) under uncultured bacterium. RNAcentral describes it as "partial 16S ribosomal RNA". It matches the Rfam family "Bacterial small subunit ribosomal RNA", at positions 30 to 526 of the family's 1533-position model. The record is from RNAcentral.
AUUGAACGCUAGCGGGAUGCCUUACACAUGCAAGUCGAACGGAGUGGCGAACGGGUGAGUAAUGUAUCGGAACGUGCCCAGUAGCGGGGGAUAACUACGCGAAAGCGUAGCUAAUACCGCAUACUAUUUGCUCUGCCGAUAUCGGAUUUGCGAGUUGGUGGGGUAACGGCUCACCAAGGCGACGAUCCGUAGCUGGUUUGAGAGGCCGACCAGCCACACUGGAACUGAGACACGGCCCAGACUCCUACGGGAGGCAGCAGUGGGGAAUUUUGGACAAUGGGGGAAACCCUGACCCAGCCAUGCCGCGUGUGCGAUGAAGGCCUUCGGGUGGUAAAGCACUUUUAGCAGGAAAGCGGUACCUGCAGAAUAAGCACCGGCUAACUACGUGCCAGCAGCCGCGGUAAUUC